GACUGCACAGGCUCCCCGGAAGAGAGAUUAGCGGCACACAGAAGCGAAGCCUGCGUAAGAGGCUGGAGUGAAAGGACCAGCUCUCCACAUGACACACGCCUGUAGUACACUGUGACUGGCAGGUCUGUUACAUUUCCCAGAAUGGUUCCCA
Molecule: long non-coding RNA, 151 nt
Organism: Lagenorhynchus albirostris (white-beaked dolphin)
Lineage: Eukaryota; Metazoa; Chordata; Mammalia; Artiodactyla; Delphinidae
Exons: 3
Source: RefSeq, a predicted model, not a curated record